ACGUGGAAGCCCCGCAAGGGGUGGAGCUGACCGGUACUAACAGUCGAACGGCAACA
Molecule: ribosomal RNA, 56 nt
Filed under: Bifidobacterium boum
Lineage: Bacteria; Bacillati; Actinomycetota; Actinomycetes; Bifidobacteriales; Bifidobacteriaceae
Description: partial 23S ribosomal RNA
Source: RNAcentral